This 443-nucleotide ribosomal RNA is filed under the name uncultured bacterium. RNAcentral's name for it is "partial 16S ribosomal RNA". It matches the Rfam family "Bacterial small subunit ribosomal RNA", at positions 338 to 795 of the family's 1533-position model. The record is from RNAcentral.
CCUACGGGUGGCAGCAGUGGGGAAUAUUGGGCAAUGGGCGCAAGCCUGACCCAGCAACGCCGCGUGAAGGAAGAAGGCCCUCGGGUUGUAAACUUCUUUUAUUCGGGACGAAACAAAUGACGGUACCGAAUGAAUAAGUCACGGCUAACUACGUGCCAGCAGCCGCGGUAAUACGUAGGUGGCAAGCGUUAUCCGGAUUUACUGGGUGUAAAGGGCGUGUAGGCGGGAGAGCAAGUCAGACGUGAAAUUCCAGGGCUCAACCCUGGAACUGCGUUUGAAACUGGCGAACUAGAGUGCGGGGGGGGUAAGCGGAAGUCCUAGUGUAGCGGUGAAAUGCGUAGAUAUUAGGAGGAACACCGGUGGCGAAGGCGGCUUACUGGACCGUAACUGACGUUGAGGCUCGAAAGCGUGGGGAGCAAACAGGAUUAGAUACCCUAGUAGUC